RNAcentral lists this ribosomal RNA (467 nucleotides) under uncultured bacterium. RNAcentral's name for it is "partial 16S ribosomal RNA". It matches the Rfam family "Bacterial small subunit ribosomal RNA", at positions 28 to 506 of the family's 1533-position model. The record is from RNAcentral.
GACGAACGCUGGCGGCGUGCUUAACACAUGCAAGUCGAACGGAAAGGCCCUGCUUUUGUGGGGUGCUCGAGUGGCGAAAGGGUGAGUAACACGUGAGUAACCUGCCCUUGACUUUGGGAUAACUUCAGGAAACUGGGGCUAAUACCGGAUAGGAGCUCCUGCUGCAUGGUGGGGGUUGGAAAGUUUCGGCGGUUGGGGAUGGACUCGCGGCUUAUCAGCUUGUUGGUGGGGUAGUGGCUUAACAAGGCUUUGACGGGUAGCCGGCCUGAGAGGGUGACCGGCCACAUUGGGACUGAGAUACGGCCCAGACUCCUACGGGAGGCAGCAGUGGGGAAUAUUGCACAAUGGGGGGAAGCCGGAUGCAGCAACGCCGCGUGCGGGAUGACGGCCUUCGGGUUGUAAACCGCUUUCGCCUGUGACGAAGCGUGAGUGACGGUAAUGGGUAAAGAAGCACCGGCUAACUACGU